This 456-nucleotide unclassified non-coding RNA is filed under the name Hevea brasiliensis (rubber tree). Lineage: Eukaryota; Viridiplantae; Streptophyta; Magnoliopsida; Malpighiales; Euphorbiaceae. The record is from RNAcentral.
CCAGCAACAAGUUGACACUUCUCAAACCCAGAGGGAGGGUUACUUCCAGCAACAAGUUAGCACUUCUCAGACCCUGAGGGAGAGUAGUUUGGCACUUCCUGAUUUUGGCUUGGCCAGCUUUUUCCAAACUGAUAUAUCAGUGCACUUUGAUGCUCCGGAGAAGCAACUUGCAUCCCAGCCACGAGUGCCCUUGAAUAAUCCUUCCUUCCUGCCGUCUGGAAGUCUGAGCUUACCAAGUUGCAGUAGCAUCGGUUCUCAACAACCACCACGCUUGAAGGAGAAUAAGGGACUGCAUGGUAAGGUAAACUCCUAGAGUCAAAGUAACUGUUAGCAGUUGGAAGUAUUAUAAUUAACGGUGAUAAUGUGCAGCUUUUUCCAACAAUAAACUACCUCUGGUGUUGUUGUACUUUAGCUUUUGUAAUCCAGUACUGUCUUACAACAGUUCAAAUUGUAUUC